AGCGGGGGACCGCAAGGCCUCGCGCGAUGAGAGCGGCCGAUGUCAGAUUAGCUAGUUGGUGAGGUAAAGGCUCACCAAGGCGACGAUCUGUAGCGGGUCUGAGAGGAUGAUCCGCCACACUGGGACUGAGACACGGCCCAGACUCCUACGGGAGGCAGCAGUGGGGAAUUUUGGACAAUGGGGGAAACCCUGAUCCAGCCAUGCCGCGUGAGUGAAGAAGGCCUUCGGGUUGUAAAGCUCUUUCGGCCGGGAAAAAAUUGCACGGAUGAACAGUCUGUGUAGAUGAUGGUACCGGACUAAGAAGCACCGGCUAACUACGUGCCAGCAGCCGCGGUAAUACGUAGGGUGCGAGCGUUAAUCGGAAUUACUGGGCGUAAAGCGUGCGCAGGCGGUUUUGUAAGACAGGCGUGAAAUCCCCGGGCUCAACCUGGGAACUGCGCUUGUGACUGCAAGACUCGAGUACGGCAGAGGGGGGUGGAAUUCCACGUGUAGCAGUGAAAUGCGUAGAGAUGUGGAGGAACACCAAUGGCGAAGGCAGCCCCCUGGGUCGAUACUGACGCUCAUGCACGAAAGCGUGGGGAGCAAACAGGAUUAGAUAAAUC
This 602-nucleotide ribosomal RNA is filed under the name uncultured Rhodocyclaceae bacterium. RNAcentral's name for it is "bacterial SSU rRNA". It matches the Rfam family "Bacterial small subunit ribosomal RNA", at positions 202 to 786 of the family's 1533-position model. The record is from RNAcentral. Lineage: Bacteria; Pseudomonadati; Pseudomonadota; Betaproteobacteria; Rhodocyclales; Rhodocyclaceae.